GACGAACGCUGGCGGCGUGCUUAACACAUGCAAGUCGAACGGGUCUGCCCUGUUUUUUGCGGGGUGGGUCAGUGGCGAACGGGUGAGUAACACGUGAGUAACCUGCCCCUCACUUCUGGAUAACCGCUUGAAAGGGUGGCUAAUACGGGGUGUUCUGGCUGUGCCGCAUGGUGUGGCUGGGAAAGAUUCACUUUUGUGGUGUUUUGGUGGGGGAUGGGCUCGCGGCCUAUCAGCUUGUUGGUGGGGUGAUGGCCUGCCAAGGCUUUGACGGGUAGCCGGCCUGAGAGGGUGGGCGGUCACAGUGGGACUGAGAUGCGGCCCAGACUCCUGCGGGAGGCAGCAGUGGAGGGUAUUGCACAAUGGGCGGAAGCCUGAUGCAGCGACGUCGCGUGAGGGAUGGAGGCCUUCGGGUUGUGAACCUCUUUCGCCGGUGAAGAAGGUCCUGCUCUUUGUGGUGGGGUUGACGGUAGCCGGGUUAUGAAGCGCCGGCUAACUACGUG
Molecule: ribosomal RNA, 500 nt
Filed under: uncultured bacterium
Lineage: Bacteria
Description: partial 16S ribosomal RNA
Rfam family: Bacterial small subunit ribosomal RNA
Source: RNAcentral